Symphalangus syndactylus (siamang) is the source of this 15539-nucleotide RNA transcript. It is a transcript of the gene named integrator complex subunit 6, with no coding region annotated. The record is from RefSeq and is a predicted model, not a curated record. Lineage: Eukaryota; Metazoa; Chordata; Mammalia; Primates; Hylobatidae.
AGCGCUUCAGUAGCGAGAGGGGCUGAGAAAGUGGUGACACCGUCGGGGUGCGGAGGGAGUCCCUGAAACUUCUCCCAACAGCCCCAGGGCCAAUCUCCCCUCAGCCCACUCCCCUCUUCGCCAGCUCCCAGGUCCCCACUCCCUGUACCGGGGGUGGGGUGGGGAGCCAGGCCCGUCUCCCGCUGGGACACACACAGGGGCCGGGAGCGGGGACGGGACCCCCGAGGCGGGGGGGACGGACCGACAGACAGACGGCUGGGCGCCCGCCCCAGCGGGCAGGCAGGCAGGAGGAGGCGGAGGCGGGGGUACGACGGGGAGGACUGGGUCUGGGGAGUUUCCUCUCAACUAUCGGGGGAGAAACUCCCCGCAGCCGGAGGAAAGACCCAGACGGUGUUUUCCUCCCGGGGGCCGUGCUCCCCCGCCCCGCGUAGCGGCGGUCGCCACCGCCGGCCCCUCCACCUCUACCAUCUCCUCUUUCUCCACCACCUCGGGCCCCGGUGUCCCCGGCCAGCACUAUGCCCAUCUUACUGUUCCUGAUAGACACGUCUGCCUCUAUGAACCAGCGCAGCCAUCUGGGCACCACCUACCUGGACACGGCCAAAGGCGCGGUAGAGACCUUCAUGAAGCUCCGUGCCCGGGACCCUGCCAGCAGAGGAGACAGGUAUAUGCUGGUCACUUUCGAAGAGCCGCCCUAUGCUAUCAAGGCUGGAUGGAAAGAAAACCAUGCAACGUUUAUGAAUGAACUGAAAAACCUUCAGGCUGAAGGACUUACGACUCUUGGCCAAUCCCUAAGGACAGCUUUUGAUUUAUUAAAUUUAAAUAGAUUAGUAACUGGCAUAGACAACUAUGGGCAGGGAAGAAACCCUUUUUUCUUGGAGCCAGCAAUAAUUAUCACGAUUACUGAUGGGAGCAAGUUGACUACCACCAGUGGAGUCCAGGAUGAGCUUCAUUUACCUCUUAAUUCUCCUUUGCCUGGAAGUGAAUUGACCAAGGAACCUUUUCGUUGGGAUCAGAGACUCUUUGCAUUAGUGUUGCGGUUGCCUGGCACCAUGUCAGUAGAAUCAGAACAGUUGACAGGUGUGCCUUUAGAUGACUCUGCAAUCACACCAAUGUGUGAAGUGACAGGCGGCCGUUCAUAUUCUGUGUGUUCUCCAAGAAUGCUUAAUCAGUGUCUGGAGUCCUUGGUGCAGAAAGUACAAAGUGGGGUGGUAAUAAACUUUGAAAAAGCAGGACCAGAUCCUUCCCCUGUAGAAGAUGGGCAGCCAGAUAUAUCAAGGCCUUUUGGAUCUCAGCCUUGGCAUAGCUGUCACAAACUCAUAUAUGUCAGACCAAAUCCUAAAACUGGGGUUCCUAUAGGUCAUUGGCCUGUUCCAGAGUCUUUUUGGCCAGAUCAAAAUUCGCCAACACUACCACCUCGAACAUCUCAUCCUGUAGUGAAGUUUUCCUGUACAGACUGUGAACCAAUGGUUAUUGAUAAACUUCCUUUUGACAAAUACGAGUUGGAACCUUCACCACUGACUCAAUUUAUCCUGGAAAGGAAAUCUCCUCAAACAUGUUGGCAGGUGUACGUGAGCAAUAGUGCAAAAUACAGUGAACUUGGUCAUCCUUUUGGUUACUUGAAAGCCAGUACAGCACUGAACUGUGUCAACUUAUUUGUGAUGCCUUACAAUUAUCCAGUCCUUCUUCCCCUCUUAGAUGACUUGUUUAAAGUGCAUAAAGCAAAACCAACAUUGAAGUGGAGACAGUCAUUUGAAAGUUAUUUGAAGACAAUGCCUCCCUACUAUCUCGGGCCCUUGAAGAAAGCUGUUAGGAUGAUGGGAGCACCUAACCUAAUAGCAGACAGUAUGGAAUAUGGACUUAGUUACAGUGUCAUUUCAUACCUCAAAAAACUGAGUCAACAGGCCAAAAUAGAAUCUGAUCGGGUCAUUGGAUCUGUAGGCAAAAAAGUAGUACAGGAAACUGGAAUAAAAGUCCGGAGCCGAUCACAUGGUUUAUCAAUGGCAUAUAGGAAAGAUUUUCAACAACUCCUCCAGGGAAUUUCAGAGGAUGUCCCUCACAGACUGCUAGACCUUAAUAUGAAGGAAUACACUGGGUUCCAAGUUGCUUUGCUAAAUAAGGAUUUGAAGCCACAGACAUUUAGAAAUGCUUAUGACAUACCAAGACGAAAUCUUUUGGAUCACUUAACAAGAAUGAGAUCUAAUCUUUUGAAGAGCACUCGCAGAUUUCUGAAAGGACAGGACGAAGAUCAAGUGCACAGUGUUCCUAUAGCACAAAUGGGGAACUACCAGGAAUACCUCAAGCAAGUACCUUCUCCACUAAGAGAACUUGAUCCUGAUCAGCCGCGAAGGUUGCAUACAUUUGGCAACCCCUUUAAGCUGGAUAAGAAGGGUAUGAUGAUAGAUGAAGCAGAUGAAUUUGUGGCUGGACCUCAAAAUAAACAUAAACGACCUGGAGAACCAAAUAUGCAAGGGAUCCCUAAAAGACGUCGGUGUAUGUCUCCAUUACUAAGAGGCAGACAGCAGAAUCCUGUUGUAAACAAUCAUAUUGGGGGAAAAGGACCACCUGCACCUACAACUCAAGCACAGCCAGAUCUUAUUAAACCUCUUCCUCUUCAUAAAAUUUCAGAAACCAGUAAUGAUUCGAUAAUACAUGAUGUGGUUGAAAAUCAUGUUGCAGACCAACUUUCAUCAGACAUUACACCAAAUGCUAUGGAUACUGAAUUUUCAACAUCUUCUCCAGCCAGUUUACUGGAACGGCCAACCAAUCAUACGGAGGCUCUUGGUCAUGACCAUUUAGGAACCAAUGACCUCACUGUUGGUGGAUUUUUAGAAAAUCAUGAGGAGCCAAGGGAUAAAGAACAAUGUGCUGAAGAGAACAUACCAGCAUCUUCACUCAACAAAGGAAAGAAAUUGAUGCAUUGCAGAAGCCAUGAAGAGGUCAAUACUGAACUAAAAGCACAAAUAAUGAAAGAAAUCCGAAAGCCAGGAAGAAAAUAUGAAAGAAUCUUCACUUUACUGAAGCAUGUGCAAGGCAGUUUACAAACAAGACUAAUAUUUUUACAAAAUGUCAUUAAAGAAGCAUCAAGGUUUAAAAAACGAAUGCUAAUAGAACAACUGGAGAACUUCUUGGAUGAAAUUCAUCGAAGAGCCAAUCAGAUCAACCAUAUUAAUAGCAAUUAAAAGAAAAUAGAAUGUGGCCACUUAUUUCACUAUCUUCUUCAAAUACAAAAUGGGAAAAUCAAGACUUAAAGAGUUUAAGAAACUUGCCCAAGAUGACAUAAUGAGUAUGUGAUGGACCUCGAUUCAAAUCAAGCCUGUGUGUGUGUGCAGAGCCCAUGCUCUAAUCACCUACAUUUUGCUACCUCCCAUCUCGUGUGGCAUCUCACAUAUAGUAGGUGCAGAAAAGAGGCUGUUGACUAAUUGCCUUAUUGACAACUAAUAGAGUAUUUUAUUUAAUAGAGUGUUUAUACUGGAUAAAAUAUAUUUUCAUAUUUGCUAUGUGCAGUUUAUGCCUUUGGAGCACAGUGGGAAAAGAAUGGAACUUAAAGCCUUGGUUUUCCUAGUAAACCCUUUGAGCACAAAGAAUCAGUACACCAAUUUUAUAUUUCCCCAGGGACAAGGCAUUUAAAAAUUUACUGUUGAAGGAUCCUUUAAAAGGGCUGCUGAUAUUAUUUUUCUUUGAAAAUAAAAAAGAUCAAAAUGGAAAUUAGAUGGUCUUUUUCUAUAAAUAAUACAGAACUUACAGGAGAGUAAAAAUAUUGAACAAGACCAUUUAAUAUCAAAGGUCUUCAUUGCUAUACAAGACAGUAUGACUCAUACUUUAAACAAAAGUAUCAUACUUUCUCAUAAAGGUAUGUUUUGAAUCUUCAGAAUAGUUUCCAAAAAAGAAAUACACUUUCUCCAAGUAUGCUGAUAUUUCUCCAAAAAAUUUUUAGACUCUCUCUUAUGAAAUUUUCUUAAGUACUGAAAACACAUCCUUUUUGAAACCUCUAAAUGCUGAAACAGUGGUUAUGAGCAUGGACUGGGGAACCCAGUGCCUGAGUUUGAAUCCCGGAUCAAGUAACUACCUGCAAACUAGUUACUUUACCUCCGUGGGAAGUUACUUUACUUCUCUUUGUCACAGUCCUUAUUUGUGAAAUGACCAUAAUUGUAAUGCGUGUUUGUAGGGUUGUAAAGAUUAAAUGAAUGAAUCCUUGCAAAGUGCUUGGAACAAUCCCCAGCACAGCCCAUGCACUUAUUGUUACCAUUGUGAUUUUUAAAUUAUUUUUCAAUUAUAUUGAGAAAGAGUUAAUUAAGGGCUAUUUGAAGCUAAAUAUGAUUAUGGUGGGUAAUAAAACUGGAUAAUAUCAUUUUUCAUAAACUAAAAAUAUCAGUAAAAGUGAGAUAUGACUAUAAAAGAUUAGAGUGAUUGUCUUGUAUGGCUAUGAAGGCAGAUCCAGAAGAAAUGCUACAAAAAUAACUUGAAUAAAAAAAAUACCCUUUACCAAUACCAGAAAAGGAUAGUACAAGAAAGACAAAUUACAGACCAAUAUACCUUAUGAAUAUAGAUGCAAAAUCUUCAACAAAAUACUAGCAAAUUGAAUCCAACACCAUAUAAAUCUCCCCAUGACAAAGUGGGAUUUAUCCCAGGAAUGCAAAGUGGGUUCAACAUAUGAAAACCAAUUAAUAUAAUACACCAUAUUAAUAGAAUAAAGGACAAAGGCCACAUCACCAUCUCAGUAGAUGCAGAAAAAGCAUUUGACAAAGUCCAACACCCUUUCAUGAUUAAAAACAAACAAACAUCAAACAUACAACAAACUUUGGAUAGAAGGUAACUUCCUUAAAUUGAUGAAGGGCAGCUACAAAAACCCCACAGCUAAUAUCACACUUUACAGUAAAAGACUGAAAGCUUUCCCCCUAAGAUCAGGAACAAGACAAGAAUGUCCACUCUGACCCCUUCUAUUUCACAUGGUACUGGAGGGUGAGUAGGACAAUUACAUGAGAAAAAGAAAUAGAAGUCAUCCAGGUUAGAAAUAAAGAAUUAAAUCUAUCUCUAUUCACAGAUGACUUGGUCCUGUACAUAGAAAACCCUAAAGAAUCCACACACAAAAAAAAAACCUAUUAGAGCUAAUAAAUGAGUUCAGUAAGGUGCAGCAUACAAGAUUAAGAUACAAAAAUCAAUUGUGUUUGUAUACACUGUAGAACAAUCUGAAAAUGAGUAAAAAUUAAAAGGAGUAAAAUACUUAGAAUAAAUUUAAUAAAAGAAGUGCAAGACUUGCAUACUGAAAACCACAAAACAUUGUUGAAAGAAACAAAGAAAGACCUAAAUGGAAGGAAAUAUAUUCUGAGUUCAUGGCCCAGAACACUUAAUAUUGUCAGAAAGUAAUACUCACCAAAUUGAUCUAAAGAUUCAACACAAUCCCUGUCUAAAUCCCUCCUGCAUUUUUGGCAAAAAUUGACAAGCUGAUUCUAAAAUUUAUAUGAAAAUGCAAGGGGCCCAGAAUAGCUAAAACAAUCUUGAAAAAGAAGAAAGUUGAAGGACUCAUACUACAGUAAUGAAGGCUGUGUGGUACUGGCAAACAUACAAACAUCUAUGCCUAUAGGAUAGAAUUGAAAGUCCAGAAAUAAACUUAUACAUUUAUGGGCAGUUGGUUUUGACAAAGAUGCCAAGAAAAUUCAGUGGAGGAAAGAAAAAUCAUUUUAACAAAUGAUAUUGGGACAAAGGGAUAGAUACACACAAAAGAAUGAAGUUGAAUCCCUACCUCAUAGUAUAUACAAUAAUUAACUCAAAAUGGAUUAAAGACCUAAAUAUAAGAGCUAAGCCUACAAAGUUCUUAGAAAAAAACAUAAACCUAAAUUUGUGUGACCCUAACUAGACAAUGGUGUCUAUUCAAUAGAAUAUGGCAUCAAAAGCACAAGAAACAAAAGAAAACAUAGAUUAAUCGAGCUUCAUCCAAAUUAACAACUUUUGUGCUUCAAAGGACACCGUUGAGAAGUGAAAAGAAAAACCACAGAAUGACAGAAAGUAUUUACAAAUCAUAUAUCUGUUAAGGUACUAGUGUCUAGAAUAAAGAACUAUUACAACUCAAUAAUAAAAAGACAACCAAUUUAAAUAUGGGAGAAACCUCUGAAAUAGACAUUUCUACAAAAAAGACAUUUCUCCAAGUACAUGAAAAGAUGCUCUAUACCUCAUUAGUCAUUAGGGAAAUGCAAAUGAAGUCCACAAUGAGAUACUACUUCACACCAACUAGAAUGGCUAAAAUAAAAAGAUGGUCAUUAACAAGUGUUGACAAGGAUGUGGAGAAACUGGAUUCCACACACAUUGCUGGUAGGAAUGUAAAAUGGUGCAGUAACUUGGAAAACAGUCUGGUAGUUCUUCAAAACGUAAAAUGGAGGGUUACCACAUGACCUAGUAAUUGCAUUCUUAGGUGUAUAUCCAAGAUAAUUGAAAACAUAUAUAUACACAAAAAAAUGUGCACUUGAUUGUUUCUGGUGGCCAAGAAGUUAAAACAAGCCAAAAUGUGUCUAGGCACUCAAAUAUCUAUAAAUUGAUGAAUAGGUAAACAAAAUGUAGUAUAUCAAUACAAUGGAAUAUUAUUCAGUCAUAAAAAGGAAGAUAGUAUUGAUUCAUGCUACUAUGAACCUUGAAAAUAUUAUGCAAAGAAGCCAGACACAAAAGGCCACACAUUGUAUAAUUGUACAAUAUGUAAUUGUAUAAUUUCACUUACAUGAAAUUCUGGAAUAGGCAAAUCUAUUGAGAGCAAGUAGAUCAGAGGUUGCUAGGAGGUGGGGAGGGGAGUUGGGAGUGACUGCUAAUGGAUAUGGGGUUUCUUUUUGAGGUGAUGAAAAGGUUCUGGAAUUAGUAGUGAUGGUUGCACAACUUUGUGAACAUACUGAAAACCUCUGAAUUGUGUACUUUAAAAUGGUGAAUUUUAUGUGAAUUAUACCUUGAUUUUUUAAAAAAGAAACACUCCUAGAAAAGCAUAAACCACACACCAUGAUAAUCAGCAGCUCCUGGAAGGAAGGGCAAAACUCAUUUUGAAUAUGUGGGAUCUGGUGGAUUUUAAGAAGAUAUAUAUUAUAUCUAAUAUCAAAACAUGCUCAUGCUCAGCCUUCUAUGUUGACCUAAUAAUCAAAUGUUUUAUUCAUUACAUGCAUAUUUGGCAUUAUUAGUCUUUCUUGUGGGACAUCACAUGAUUGUGGUUAUAAAUAACCCUUAACACAUUCUUGGUUUUCUUGAUUAUUCCUUUAGUAUGCUAAGCAUCCCUCAUGAAGAUUAACAGUCCCUAUGCACUUUUUUGUUUAUUUAUAAAUAAAAGGUUACUUUGGAAGCUAGACACCAUAAUUCAUCCAGAAUCUACUAGUGCACUGCUUGGUGAUGUCUAACCUGAAAGCACAUCUCAUAGUCACACAAUUUUGCAUUGCUACCCAUAGUGUGCAAAAUUUUUUUGCUCUUGUUAAAUGAAAAAUGCCUGCUGACUGUAGAGCAAGUCAUACUAAAAGAAGAAUGAGUGAUUUGAGAGAAUGGGAGAUAAAUUCCUGCCUAAAAGCUGAUUUUGUGUCUACCAUGAUCCAAAGUUUAUAUCUAAAUCUAGACCUAAAACAGUUUUUACUUUUUCUGUUUUGUUCCCCAAAGGAUUUAAAGCUAGCUUAAAAACAAACAAAAAGAAAAACUUGGUUAGUUUUACUUGUGAAGUAACUUCAUUUUCCUAAAAACCUCUAUCCUUCUUGGACAGCAGUCUUGGUAGUCUUAAGGAGAUUUAAAAAAAAAAAAAUUAUCAGAAUGAGGUUAACUGCUAACUAAUAGUUGUGUUACUAAGAUUUCUGCCUUGCCUUGCCUUCCCUGCCUGCCAGUGUUUUUCAGGAUCACUGCUUGAGGAUUUGAGACUUCUAAAAGCAGAAUAAGGACGGUGGAAAGUUCUCAGUGGAGCUGGGAAUUUCCCUGGGGUCUCUUCCAGGGAAGAGCUGCUCGAGGGUGAGGCCCACCAUCUGUCUCUUAAACCCAAAAAGGUUGGGGUAAAUUCCUGCACCAGCCUCCUUUUUCUCUCUGCUUUUGACAUGGAACGCUGCUCUUCCUUCCCUUGCUGAGUUUCUCUCAAAUAUAAUAGGAAGAUUAGGGUUGCUUCUGCUCCCUCCCUGAGAGAUCUGUUGAAAUAUCCAGUAUUUGGGUUUUGGUUUGGGGUCCAAAUAUUUAGUUUUGAGAGAUACACUUUACCUUAGAGUUAAGUGCACCUUUUGUCCUGGGCUAUGCCAGAUCUCACUUUAGACCUUGGCCCUUAACUUGCUGGGUCUCUCUUUGUAUGUUUUCCUUCUAGUGCAUAGAUUUAUUUUUAACUCCUUGAGGGAGUACUGCCAAGGACUUUGCCUUUGCCUACUGGAAGCCCAGGCAGUGGAGAGAGGCCAAGGCAGCUAGUGGCUGCUGGACAACAUUCCUUGCUUAAUGCUGGUCAAAAAAUGGUUAUAAAUUUACUCUGAUUUCAAAUAUAUCACAGAAGCUCAUCAUUUAAAGAAGCCCUAAGAGGAAUCUUUUUGUAAAGUUAUGAGUUUUGCUAAUAGAUUUUGUUUUGAAAAAGCAAAAUAGAAUGCCACCACUUCACUUUUUGAUUUGUAUUUGUACCUAUUGGAUCUUCUUAAAGGAGAGUUCACCUCCAUUUAGAAAAAAUGAGAACCUUCUGCAUAGAGACUUAAAAUGUCAAAAUUUUAUGCCUUAAUUUGGCUUCUGAUCAGAAUUUUAUCUGUACUUGCUCAAUUACAUAAGUCAUCUUAUCUCUUUGGUUUUGGAAAAAUGACAGUUGUAUACUCUUAGGAUGGGAUAAGAUUUGGGCAACGUUCCUACAAGGGAACCACGAACAUUUCCUCUCCAAAAACUGGUUGUAGCCUAGGGCUGGAUCAGGGGGUCCUGGGGGGCUCCAGUCCAGCCCAGUGAAGGCAGAAUAUCUUGUCUUGGAAAGACUCUGGGAAGUUAGUUCAUUUCAGUCUGUACCGUGAGCUAGCCAGCAGUGGCUCUGAAAUGGACUCAAACUCUAGGGUCACUUCCUCUUGGCCUAACUUCUGGGGGUACACAUUAAACAAGUCAUCCCAGUGGCUAAGCACAGACCCUAGAGGCAGACCACCUGUGUGCAAAUCCACGCUCUUCUGACUGCUGGCUGCACGGCACCUGUAAGGGGGACUCAGCUGCUCACCUGGGCAGGAACACAUCCAUCCUGGCUCUCCUCAGGCUGGUGGUCCAGAGGUGGAUGGUGCUGGCUGUGAGGUGUGGCUCGAUGUGGCUCAUGGGGGUGUCUUUGUCACGGGGCAGCACCAGGAACAGACUCACUGCACUUCCCAGGUAAGGCAGCUCCAGCACCCCCACCUGAUGGCCUGCAGUGUCCUGGAACUGACCUGAGGGUACAGUGGAUCAGAGGUCAGCACUGUCCCAGGAGCCAGGAGAAUUAACCAGUGUCAGACCCUGAGAGAGGCUGGCUCAGAGGACUGGAAACAAUAAAACGGAGCAUCCACCUCAUCCUCAGGAGGCAGUUUCAGGCCAAAGACUGUUGGGCAAUAUGGUCAUUUUAUAAAAAUCCUAGACCUAGAGUCUUUAAGAUACCCUUACAGGACCAGAGGCAGAGGCUCUGUAGGGCUGGGUAUGGGGGGGACGAUGGCACGUGCAGAACCACAGAGUAGUGCCCCGUUAUCCUUGGCAGAUAUGCUCCAAGAACCCCAGUAGAGGCCUGAACCUGUAGAUGGUAAUGAGCCCUGCAUAUACUACGUUUUCUCAAUCUGAUGACUGAGAUGGCUGCUAAGUGACUAACGGGCAUACUGUAGACAGCCUGGAGAUACUGGACAAAGGAAUGAUUCAUAUCUCAGGUGGAACAGAGAAGGACGUGAGGAGAUUUCACCACACUAUUCAGAAGGGUGUGCAAUUUAAAACUUGAGUUAUUUGUGAAAUUUUCCAUUUAAUAUUUUCUGAUGCAGAUAACUGAAACCUCAAAAAGCAAAAUCAUGGGUAAGGGUACAGGGUACUACUGUACCCGGUCUUAAAGAAGCAGCCAAUUCAAUCCCAGCCUAUUGUGCCUGUCAGGGUGGCAGUUUGGUCCAAACUCUACUAGUGCAGAAGGAAAUGUCAAGCAUGAAACUGAGUUUCUCUUCCACAUCUGUGUCCUCACUGUCCUGUCAGAGCACACUGUCCAACACUCCUCUCUAAAGUCUCCAGGCACUCUAGUCUUUCCUUCCGCCAUGCACACCCAGUCCAGCAGAUGGACCCUGUGGAAAUACAUCCUGAUCCCUUAGGAGCAGGGACCUGGCCUCCUCUCUCCUGCCCUCAGGCCCGGGCUUCCUCUCCCUUUAGACAAACCAGCAGGGGCAGAGCUCACCGUAGUUGACCUCGGCCAUUUGGUGCAUCAUGGGGACCUGAAGGACGAGGCCAUGGGCACAGGUGAAAGGCAGGAUCUGCGUGUCUGUGGAGGAGAAUCUCUUCUGCCAAGUGCCUUGGAAGGACAUGGUGCUCACAAGCACAAGCUGAGCAAAUGCUGCACUGACUUGCUCCCACGGCCAGCCAUCAGGGCCCUCACUGGGGCCCUCACCUGCAAGCAGGAAAGCAAGGGGGCCGUGGGUUAAAUGUGCAUUGAAACUGAACCGAACCCAGUGUGUGUGUGGAUGAGGAGUGCAGAGUUAAAAUGUGAAAAUGAAGGUCUUUUUGCUUAAGGUGGUCUCUCUCUUCAUCUUACAAUAUCUUUUCAGUCUACUUAAGAAUAUUUAAUUCCCUGUCUCAGCUCCUUGUGCUGUCAGGGACCCAAGGCACCAGGAGCUGCUCUCAACUUUUGGGGACUGUUGAGCGAUAUGGUCAUUUUAUAAAAAUCCUAGACCUAGAGUCUUUAAGAUAACCUCACAGAGCCGGAGUCAGAGACUCUGUAGGGCUGGGUAUGGGGGCGACAAUGACAACCCCUGCUGGGGAAUGAGAGUGUGGAGAGGGAAAUGGAAAGUGAGAACUCGGAAGUCCUGACACCUGGGUGACCAGUCAGGGGAGGUGGGGGCAGUGAGGCAUCUCUGGAGUUGGGUUGGUAGCGUAUUUAUUAAAAUCUGUUAAUUGCAAAUUGAUGUGUUUAUAACCAGCUGUUGCUGAAGACCCUGCUUUUUAUUCUUUUCUGAACAGGUUGGGAUGCUGCUCCUGGUUCUGUUUGGGGCCAUUUCCUAGGAAUUAUUAGACAUUUCCUCCCCAGGCAGACCCUUGGAAGGAGUAUGUGCUGUGAUGGGAGAUCCUGCACAUUGUCGCCCCCAGUCCCCACCCUGCCCCACUGCUGAGCUGAAUCUCUCACUGAGCCUUUGCUUAGACAACAAUAUUCAAGGUAUGGUCUUUGGAGGGCUGCAGUUAAAAUUUCAUGCAGUGUCAGAAAGAGGAGCAGGCAGACUACCCCUAUGGGGAUAGUUUUUUGUCCCAGCUGUUUAUUUGUUUAAUACGCACACACUUUGUGCUAGGCUCUGUUCUAAGUGCUUUAGCAAAUCCUCACUGACUCCUCCUAACAGUUCUAUUGUUAUUCCCUAUUUCACAGGUGAGGGAACUGAGGCUCAGAGAAGUUGGGUAAAGUUACAUACUUAUGAGGGGUGAAGCCACCAUCCACCCAGUUAGCCAAUGCAAUGUGGAUUGCAUUGAAAUAGAACCCCAGCGGCUCCAUGGAAAGCUUGGAUUUGAACCCAAGCAGCCUGGCUCUGGACUCUGUGCUCUGAGCAACUGAGCCAACUGCCCCUUUUUCUUAGAGGACAAUCACCAUGCAUUGGGAGCUGCUUCUCUGGCCUUACGCCCUGGCAGCACAAGGAUGUGAGCAGGGAAUUAAACAUAUUUAAGUAAAUUGAAAAGACAUGGUAAAAUAUAAGAGCACGAGAGAGAACUUUAUCGCAAAAGAUGUUAAUUUUUGCAUUUAAUUCUGCCACCCUUGUCCACACACUCACCGUUUUCCACUCAGUCGUAGUAUACAUAUCACUUCCUAUUCUGCUUUUUUUUUUUUUUUUUGAGAUGAAAUCUUGCUGUUGCCCAGGCUGGAGUGCAGUGAUGCAGUCUCGGCUCACUGCAACCUCUGCUUCCCGGGUUCAAGCGAUUCUCCUGCCUCAGCCUCCCUGAGUAGCUGGGAUUACAGGCACAUGCCACCAUGCCUGGCUGAUUUUUUGUAUUUUUAGUAGAGAUGGGUUUCACCAUGUUGGCCAGGCUAGUUCAAACUCCUGACCUCGUGAUCUGCCUGCCUUGGCCUCCCAAUCCUAUUUUGCUUUUUAACUAACACUGGGUCUUGAAUGUUCUCCACAUUGCUGUGAAACUUUUGAAAUGAUCAAGGACGCUGGAGCCAGACCACCUGGGUUAGAAUCCUGGCCUGUGGACCCUGGGCAGGAGGGUGAGCCUUCUGUGCCUCAGUUUCUGCAUUUAUGGAAUGGGUAGAGUAAUAGCGCCUACCCCUUAGGAUUAUUGUGACGUUAAACUGAGAUAAUCAACUUGGAGCAGUGCUAACUAAAUAAACACUCAGUAAGCGUUCAUGAUUUUAAUUAUCUUUCAUAAUAAUUACAACUGCAUAACAUGCAGGUGCUGUGCUACACUGAUUCACACCUCAUUGCCGGGCAGCGAGGCUGUUUGUAAGUCUCUUUCUUCAAUAACACUGAGCUAAACAUCUUAUUGUGUGUAACUUUUUCUUAAAUUAUUUCCUUAACCUAAAUUCCCAGGAAACCACUUUUUUUGGCUCCUGUUGCAUUUUGCUAUCACAGGUGGUUUAUUAUGAUGAGAGCAGAGCUCGGUGGGGGGACAGUUGCAUGGGAGAAAGCCUGUGGGGUCCUCCGAGGUGGGAGGCUCUGAAGAGUACACUUCUGUGUUCUUGUGUGCUCUCAUGGCUCGUGUGUGUUUGUGUGCCCAUGUGUAUAUUUGUGUGGGGGAGGGUCAGAGCAGGAAGAGAAGCAGAAAGGGACUCAGUGUCCCCUUGUCAUUCAAGGGUAGGAUCUCCUAAGAGGACAAACUUCUGCUGUAAUUGAAGGUGGCCUGAGCACCAUGGCCUCUGACAAGUGAUGGGUGAGACUCUGUCUCUGCAGCCCUCUGCCUUAGCCUUUUUGAAAUGGACAGUUUUCUUUUACCUGCAGUCUGUCUGGAGGCCCCUUCGCUAGUCUGGAUGGCGGUGCUAUUGGGCUCACUGAGGUCGGCUGGUUCCAGGCUGCUGUUAGCCCACCAGGAGACCUGCUCCACAAAGCAGGGGGACAGCGGCGUUCCCACUUGCACAAAAAGGCUGCAGGCCAGCUCCAUCUCGGCGCCUUGGCUGGAGGCUAAACAUUUCAAAGUGUGAAUGAAUGAAAGAUGAACUGCAAGUGAUUUUUCUUCUGUGUACUCAGCCUUGAACCUGGUAAACACUACGUUUUUUAAGAUGUAGCUGUGUGGUGCUAUGCAUGCAUCCGAUCCUGGCUUCCAGCUUCUGGGCGAUACUCGACAGUGUGCAACUGCCACAUUUUCUUUAUCUGCUCUCCCAGUGAUGAACAUCCAGGUCGCCUUUAACUCCUCGCCAGCGCAAACAGCCCUUAGACAGUUCUUGUGGACUGUGCGGGAAUUUCCCUAGGAUGUUUACCAGAGAAUUUGGACGUUAUAGACUGUGCAUAUAUUUAAUUUUACUACGUAGCUACACACUGCGCUCUGGAACAUCUACAUCCUUCUACACCCCGCCAACACCCCGCAUCUCUGCCAAGUAUUUCCCAUCACUUUUAUUUUUCAACUUUAAUAGAUGCAAAGUCGUAUCUCAUUCUGUUAAUUUGGAUUUGGCGGGUUACCAAUGAUUUUGAGUGUCUCAUAAUAUGCUUGUUACUUUUCUGUUUCCUCUUCUGAAAUUACCUAUUUAUACUCUUUAUCCAUUUUUCUAUAUUGUGGUUGUUGUUUUCUUCUUGAUUUGUAGUCCACAUAGAGUAUACAUCCCUUGCCAAUUUUAGAUAUUGCAAAUAUUUUCUCCCCUUUUGGCCAUUAUCUAUUUACUCUCCUCAUGAUGUCUUUUGUUGAAGAGAAAUCCUUAAUUUUCAUGUAUUUAUAUUUAUAUUGUUCUUUCCCACUGAUGUGUAGCGUCCCUUCUCCCAUAUGUUAGAUCCCUGUAUACACAUGGGUAUGCUCUGAGCUCUCUUCUCCAUCCCACUCUCAAUUCCUGUUUACCACAUUGCUUUCAUAACUAUGGCUUUAAAAUAUGUCUUUUUUUUUUUUUCUUUUGAGACGGAGUCUUGCUCUGUCACUCAGGCUGGAGUUCAGUGGCAUGAUCUCAGCUCACUGCAACCUCUGCCUCCUGGGUUCAAGCAAUUCUCCUGCCUCAGCCUCCCAAAUAGCUGGGAUUACAGGUGCCCACCACCAUGCCCAGCUAAUUUUUUGUAUUUUUAGUAGAAACGGGGUUUCACGAUGUUGGCCAGGCUGGUCUUGAACUCCUGACCUCAGGUGAUCCACCUGCCUCGGCCUCCCAAAGUGCUGGGAUUACAGGCAUGAGCCACCAUGCCUGGCCAAAAAGUGUCUUAUUAUAUAAUAGACAAGUUCCGCUCUUUACUAUUCCUUUUAAAAGUUGAGUUAGCUUUCAAAAACUUUUAUUGAGUCUCCAAAUCAAUUUUAAAGUAAGUUUAUUAAGCGCCUCAAAAAAAUCCAACUAAAAUGGGAUUAUCAUGGCAUUUAAUCUAUUGAUUAAUCUGGAAAAUUUUAACAACUUAGUAAGUUAUCCCAUCCAAGACUAUGGAAUGUCUUUCCAUUUGUUAAAAUCAUCUCCUAUCAUAGAUUAUUUUAAUAAAAUUUUAAAGUUUUAAAAAUUUAAGAACUUGUGUGUAUUCUUGACUAAAUUUCCAUGCUUUGUGCUCUUAUUGCCAUAUUCUUUUUAUUAUUAAUAGACUGUUUUAAGAGCAGUUUUAGGUUUCCAGAAAAAUUGAGCAGAAAGUAUGGAGUUCCCAUAAACCCCCCCUUCCCUGUCCCCAGUUUCCCCAAUUAUUAACAUAUUGCAUUUUUGUAUAUUUGUUAUAAUUGAUAUAUUGUCAAAUAGAGUCAACAGUUUACAUUAGGGCUUACUCUGUUGUACAGUUCUAUGACUUUUGUCAAAUACAUAAUGUCAUGUGUCCACCAUGAUAGUAACAUACAGAAUGGUUUCAUUGCCCUAAAAUUGCUUUGUGCUCCAUACAUUAAUUCUUCCCUCCGCCCUUUCCCUCAACCCUGAGAACCACUGACUUUUUACUGUCUCUAUAGUUUUGCCUGUUCCAGAAUGUCAUUUAGUUGGAAUCAUACAGUAUGUUGUCUUUUCAGACUGGCCUCUUUCACUUAGCAAAAUGCAUUUAAGCUUCUUCCAUGUGUUUUUGAGGUUUGAAACCUCAUUUCUUUUUAUCACUGAGUAAUAGUCUAUUAUACAGAUGUACUAUAGUUCAUUUAUUCAUUCACCUGUUGAAUGACAUUUUGGUUGCUUCCAAGUUUUGGCAAUAUGAAGAAAGCUACUAGAAACUUUGUGUGCAGAUUUUUGUGUUUUCAAUUCAAUUGGAUAAAUACUUAGGAGUCAGUUGCUUGACUUUAUGGUAAGACUGUGUUUAGCUUUGUAAUAAAUGGCCCCUCUGUCUUCUAAA